UCAAGGGAAGAAGGGCAUACGGUGGAUGCCUAGGACGUAGGAGGCGAAGAAGGGCGCGGCAAGCUGCGAAAAGCCACGGUAAGGUGCAAGCGACCGAAGAGCCGUGGGUACCCGAAUGGGGAAACCCGGUGAGCAGAGAGGCUCAUCAUCCCGAAAGGGAGGCGAACCCGGUGAAGUGAAACAUCUCAGUAGCCGGAGGAAAAGAAAGCGAAGCGAUAGCGUGAGUAGUGGUGAGCGAAAGCGCUGGAGUCCAAACCGAAGACGUGUCAAGCGCGCGGGCGUUGCGUUUUCGGGGUAGGGGGACGUUCGAGGGGUGGCUGCGCCCACCCACUCAGACGGAAGGCGUUUAGGAGAAAUCUCUGGGAAGGGAUACCGAAGAAGGUGACAGUCCUGUACCCGAAAGGCGCCGGAGCUGAGGAACGAUCCCAAGUAGUGCCGGGCACGUGAAAUCCGGUAUGAAUCAGGGGAGACCACUCUCCAAGACUAAAUACUCCUACGGACCGAUAGAGAAGCAGUACCGUGAGGGAAAGGUGAAAAGCACCCCGGGAGGGGAGUGAAAGAGAACCUGAAACCGUAUGCCUACAAGAAGAGGGAGCGAAAGUGACCUCGUGCCUUUUGAGUAAUGUGCCUGCGAGUGGUCGUAUCGGGCGAGGUUAAGCCGGGGGAGGCGGAGCCGGAGGGAAACCGAGUCUGAAUAGGGCGAAAGAGUCCGAUGCGAUCGACCCGAAGCCAGGUGAGCUACCCAUGUCCAGGGUGAAGGUGGGGUAAGACCCACUGGAGGCCCGAACCGGUGGACAGUAAAAAGUCUUCGGAUGAGGUGUGGGUAGGAGUGAAAAGCUAACCGAACCUGGUGAUAGCUGGUACUCUCCGAAACGUAUUGAGGUACGGCCUCAGGGGGUCCCUUGCGGGGGUAGGGCGCUGGAUGGGGUAGGGGAGCAAUCUCCGAACUCAACCAAACUGCGAAUACCGCAAGGAAUAACCUGGGAGACAGCCCGUGGGGGAUAAGCUCCACGGACGAGAGGGAAACAACCCAGACCGACGGCUAAGGUCCCGAAGAGAUCGCUUAGUGUGCAAGGAAGUGGUGUGUCCGAGACAGCUGGGAGGUUGGCUUAGAAGCAGCCAUCCUUGAAAGAGUGCGUAACAGCUCACCAGUUAAGACAGGCUGCGCCGAAGAUAGAGGGGGCUGAAGCGAUUCACCGAAGCCGCGGAAUGCGAAAGCAUUGGUAGGAGAGCAUUGCGCCGAGGGAGAAAGCCGGACUGCGAAGGCGGCUGGACGGAGCGCAAGGGAGGAUGCAGGCAUGAGUAACGAGAAGACGGUGAGAAUCCGUCUCCCCGAAAGCCUAAGGGUACCUGGGGAAGGGUCGUCCACCCAGGGUAAGCCGGACCUAAGGGGAACCCGAAAGGGGUAACCGAUGGGAAGCCGGUAAAGAUUCCGGCGCCAGGCGUCCGGGAGGUACGAGCGGGGACACAGGAGGAUAGGCUCUGCGAAGAAAUGGGAAAUUCGUCCAAGCCUCGAGCUGUAGAAGCGCGUAGGGAAGGCCGCGCGCGGAGGUAAGGGGUGAAGGGGAGUCCAUCGAAGGGUGGGCAACGGAGCUGAGUUCACACUGUCAAGAAAAGCCGCGCGUACCGGCGAACGGAAGCCUGACCGUUCUAAAAACCGACACAGGUAGGCUAGUUGAGAAGACUAAGGGGAGCGGGAGAACCUCCGCUAAGGAACUAGGCAAAAUGGCCCCGUAACUUCGGGAGAAGGGGCGCUCCUGCGGGUUAAGAGCUAGCGGGAGCUGCAAAGACCAGGCUCUGGCGACUGUUUACCAAAAACACAGGACUCUGCGAACACGAUGAGUGGACGUAUAGGGUCUGACGCCUGCCCAGUGCUGGAAGGUUAAGGGGAGUGGUCAGCGCGAGCGAAGCUACGAACCGAAGCCCCAGUAAACGGCGGCCGUAACUAUAACGGUCCUAAGGUAGCGAAAUUCCUUGUCGGGCAAGUUCCGACCUGCAUGAAUGGCGUAACGAUCGGAGCACUGUCUCAGCGGAGGGCCCGGUGAAAUUCCAAUCUUGGUGAAGAUGCCAAGUUACCCGCGAUUAGACGGCAAGACCCCAUGAAGCUUUACUGUAUCCUAAUAUGGUAUAGUGGUGGAAGGCGUACAGGAUAGGUGGGAGGCAGCGAACGCAGCGCGUCAGCGCUGCGGGAGCCGACGGUGGGAUACCACCCUCCUUCCAGCGUUAUACUAACCGAGGUAGGUGGAGAGCCUAUCAGGGACAGUGUUAGGGGGGCAGUUUGACUGGGGCGGUCGCCUCCAAAAAGGUAACGGAGGCGCGCGAAGGUGGGCUCAGGCUGGUUGGGAAUCAGCUGGCGAGUGCAAGGGCAAAAGCCCGCCUGACAGUGAGAGAGACAUCUCGAGCUGAGACGAAAGUCGGUCCUAAUGACCAGGUGGUGCUGUGUGGAAAGGCCAUCGCUCAACGGACAAAAGCUACUCUGGGGAUAACAGGCUGAUACCGUCCGAGAGUCCAUAUCGACGACGGUGUUUGGCACCUCGAUGUCGGCUCAUCGCAUCCUGGGGCUGUAGUCGGUCCCAAGGGUUGGGCUGUCCGCCCAUUAAAGCGGUACGUGAGCUGGGUUCAGAACGUCGUAAGACAGUUCGGUCCCUAUCUGUCGCGGGCGCAGGAUACUUGAGAAGGCUUCUCCCCAGUACGAGAGGACCGGGAGGAGUGGACCGCUGGUGAACCAGUUGUGCUACCAAGCGCAUAAGCUGGGUAUCUAAGUCCAUGAGUGAUAAGCGCUGAAAGCAUCUAAGCGCGAAACAUGCUUCAAGAUGAGGUAUCCCAUCGAAAGAGUAAGGGCCGUUCGAGAACAGGACGUAGAUAGGCCGCAGGUGGAAGCGGCGCGAGCCGUGCAGCCGAGCGGUACUAAUCGCCCGAGGCCUUGACCUU
RNAcentral lists this ribosomal RNA (2931 nucleotides) under activated sludge metagenome. Its description in RNAcentral is "bacterial LSU rRNA". It matches the Rfam family "Bacterial large subunit ribosomal RNA". The record is from RNAcentral.